This 253-nucleotide ribosomal RNA is filed under the name uncultured bacterium. RNAcentral's name for it is "partial 16S ribosomal RNA". It matches the Rfam family "Bacterial small subunit ribosomal RNA", at positions 524 to 776 of the family's 1533-position model. The record is from RNAcentral.
UACGUAGGGGGCAAGCGUUGUCCGGAAUCAUUGGGCGUAAAGCGCGUGUAGGCGGCCCGAUAAGUCCGCUGUGAAAGUCCAGGGCUCAACCCUGGAAUGCCGGUGGAUACUGUCGGGCUCGAGUCCGGAAGAGGCGAGUGGAAUUCCUGGUGUAGCGGUGAAAUGCGCAGAUAUCAGGAGGAACACCAAUGGCGAAGGCAGCCUUCUGGGCCAACACUGACGCUCAUGCACGAAAGCGUGGGGAGCAAACAGG